Lycium ferocissimum is the source of this 390-nucleotide long non-coding RNA. RefSeq lists it as uncharacterized. Lineage: Eukaryota; Viridiplantae; Streptophyta; Magnoliopsida; Solanales; Solanaceae. The transcript is spliced from 3 exons. The record is from RefSeq and is a predicted model, not a curated record.
UGGAGAGUUUGAGUAAAGAAUACUUGUCUAAACCCUAAACCAUAAUUAAAAUGAUGAUUAGCUAACUUAAAAAGUUGUAAAUAGAAAAUCAAGCUAAUCCUUUAACUCAUACUCCAUAUAAAUAUAGUCGGAGCUCCGAAUCUGAAGUUUGGAGCUCCAUUAAAUAUCCGGUGUCGGAGAUGGACCUCGUUGGAACCCUUCAAUCGGAACUCGAAACUCUUAGAAGCAGAAUCAAGGAAUUGGAAUCCGAAAAUGCUAAUUUAUCUGCUCGCCUUUCGAAUUGCAGUUGCCAAAAGACAAAGGAGAAAGGUAACGGUAGCGUUGUAGUUGUGAAGAACGGAAUUUUGGAUGGCCAUGGAAAGAAGAAAAAUAAGCUCAGAGAUUUCGGUU